UACGAAGGGGGCUAGCGUUGCUCGGAAUCACUGGGCGUAAAGGGUGCGUAGGCGGGUUUUUAAGUCAGGGGUGAAAUCCUGGAGCUCAACUCCAGAACUGCCUUUGAUACUGAAGAUCUUGAGUCCGGGAGAGGUGAGUGGAACUGCGAGUGUAGAGGUGAAAUUCGUAGAUAUUCGCAAGAACACCAGUGGCGAAGGCGGCUCUCUGGGGUAUUUCUGACGCUGAGGCACGAAGGCCAGGGGAGCGAACGGG
Molecule: ribosomal RNA, 253 nt
Filed under: uncultured bacterium
Lineage: Bacteria
Description: partial 16S ribosomal RNA
Rfam family: Bacterial small subunit ribosomal RNA
Source: RNAcentral